CUGGUCUUGAACUCCUGACCUCGUGAUCCACCCACCUCGACCUCCCAAAGUGCUGGGAUUACAGGCGUGAGGCACUAUACCAGGCAGGGAUACGGUUUUUCAAACUGCUUCUAAGAGAGGUGGACCCAGAAAGCCUCUGACCUGCACCGGAGGCUCUUGGCAGACCUGGACUGUUUCAGAAAUGCAUUCUUGGGCCCCACACCAGACAGGCCUAGUCGGGAACUCUGGGGAACGCAGCACUCUGGCCUCUAACAGCCAAGCCUUCUGGGUGAUUCUGACACAUAUCGAAUCUGGGAAUCACUAGGCCUCUGCCUUGUCUUCAGACUGGGAGUGACUAAGACCAGAAAGCCAACCGCCUGCCCUCCAACCGCCUGCCCUCCAACCGCCAGCCCUCCAACCGCCAGCCCUCCAACCGCCUGCCCUCCAAUAGCCAGCCCUCCAACCGCCUGCCCUCCAAUCGCCAGCCCUCCCGGCUUCCAUCUCCUCCCAGCUACCUGCAGUGCCACCAGGUUUAUCACCUUAGAGCAUCCACAGCCACAGUUACCCAGAGAGAAGAGAAGGAGGAGACACAGGGCUUGGGGACGAAGGCAUUCAAACAGGCAGGUCCUCCCACGGGAAUCCCAUGACGGCCGACUCCACGACCACUUCCCCAGCAUGACUAGAUUUCCUGCAGCUUCGAAAUGCAAACAUUGCCUCAGACAAAAGCUAAAAUUGUUACAGUCAGAACCGAAACCACGAGUGAGAAGGGGCUCUGCUCCCAGUACCCACAGCCACGGGGAGCCACCGACCAGCAUGUCUUACCAUUGUUCACCUGGCCGUGGACCGCAGUGGGGACUGAUGCCACAAAAUCAAACAUGACUGUUAUUGGUGCCCCGACAAAGACAGAGAAGGCAAAGCUUUGCCAACUGCUCUCAGAAUUUUAAGUGUGAAGUAGAAGGUAGAUUCUGAGACUAGGACUGAAGAAAAGCAAACCCACACGAUGGUAAUAUAAAACCCUCAAGCAGUGCAAAUGGCAAUCCCAGCCACUGCCUGAGAAGGACGACUUCCCCUCUCGCUGUUCUACCAGGACCAGUCCUCCUAAGCGGGGACUCAGAAAGAGCUACCCCACGCAGCAUCCGAGUCUGAAGAACAGACAACAGUCAACAAGCCCCGAAGUGAAGGCUGUGGCUGUACUGACUGAUGUGGAGUCAUUUAAUUUGCAUGCUCUUAGGAGGAAAGAAGGUUAGCACAGUGGGAAUGUGGAAGCAGAAAAGGUGACUUUGGGGCCAUACUCCAGCCAUGUGAGCAGAAGAACGUGACACGGGCCAGAAGCCCUGCCCCUGCGUCACCACCACCAUCACUUACGAGACGCAAAGUAAGUCUGUGGAAUUGGGGAGCUGCUAUUUUCUGUCCUGAAAACGUAAAAGAACCCAGUUCGCAGCAUCAGAAUAGAUUCUAACCUAUUUUAUUCUCCAAUCCAUCUCCCUGACAACAACUCCAAGGGCAAAUGAAGAAAGAUUACUUGUGAUUUGCCAGCCAACAAGACUCCAGAAAAUAUGAGGAAUUAAUGAGACAUUUAAUGUAGACACAAAUAGAAUAAAGUAACUAUGUUUCUAAGGUAAUUUAAGGCUGUUGUAAUUUGAUCAAACCCAGGAUGGAUGUUCCUUCAUUCUGUUGCUACAUGUAUUAAAACCACAUUGACUGGACUCUAAUGAUUCAGAAAUUUUAAAGCUUUCAGAGAAAACGUGGGCUGUUAUUCUUUAACGCUAAACAUGAAGAAAAGGAUUUGCAAUUCUGAGCAAUUACCUUUCCCCCAAAGGCUUUCCAAAUUGAGCGUCUGCUGAAAAUCAGCCCUCCCUGAGCACCAGCUCCCUCCCUUCCGGGGCUCUCCUCUGUGCCUUCCUGCAGCCUUCCUAAGCAGACCUCACGUUUCUCAAGGACGGUUUGUCUGUUUCCUCACCCAGCCCUGAGUGCGCUCCCGUGUGCACUCUGCACAGUAAGGACGUGUACAGAAACUGAGGAGAAGGAACAGGACAAGUUCCUUUCAGAGGAUGGGUCUAAUGUCCAGGAACGCUUCCAAAAGUGCAAGGGUGAGGGUGAGUCCAGAGUACAGUCCUCCCUUUAAAAGAGAUCAAGUGACGGGUGCGGUGGCUCACGCCUGUAAUCCCAGCACUUUGGGAGGCCGAGGCGGGUGGAUCACUUGAGGUCAGGAG
This 2192-nucleotide long non-coding RNA is filed under the name Homo sapiens (human). Its description in RNAcentral is "HSALNT0392273". The record is from RNAcentral. Lineage: Eukaryota; Metazoa; Chordata; Mammalia; Primates; Hominidae.